RNAcentral lists this long non-coding RNA (29910 nucleotides) under Triticum aestivum (bread wheat). RNAcentral describes it as "long non-coding RNA (TAES_LNC001235)". The record is from RNAcentral. Lineage: Eukaryota; Viridiplantae; Streptophyta; Magnoliopsida; Poales; Poaceae.
GGCAGCGCAGCGUGAUUUAGGGCUGUGAGCAUGUUGACAGGUCAGUUUUGCAACCAUGGUUGGUGCUGUUAACCCGUGUUUGUUUGUAGUUGGUACAAUGUGUCGGUGAUUCAAGGUAGGAUCCUCGAGUUUUAGGGAGGCAUAUCGUAAUAUGCUUGUACUGGGUGCCUGGUACAUGACUAAUUUGUGGCUUCCUAGGGUGGUAAUUUUACUUGCCUGAGAAAGAAGAGAGCUUCAGUAAAGCCUAGUUUUUGUGUUCAGCUAAGUUUCUGCUCCGGAUACUUUCCAAGAGAAUAGCUGGAGCAUGGAUUGUUCUUGACGUGUAACUUGAAGGAAAUCCAUGUGGCGAUGUUCUGAUCAAUCUGUGCGCAUGUUGUUGUCAUGAAAUUCGCGGUAGAUUUCUCGUUUCUUUUGGCUGUAGUCCGGGUCCGGGACAAUGUAGCUGGAUUCUUGAUGGAACUCCCAACCUGAUAUGAUGAUAUCAAGCGACGUGCCUGGCCGGACGGAGGCCGCCGCCUGGAGCCGAAGGGGAGAGGCGGCGAUGACUCCGAUUGGAGGACGUCACGCUCGGCACACUAGCUUGUGUCCCAGACACACUUAACUGUCACGGCGAAUCGGCGCAGCCGAAAGGGGAGGGGGCACGCCGGUGACUCGGGCCACAUGCGCGUGCCUCCUACGUACCUUUCCCUUUCGCCAACGGUGGGUAGGACUUGGGAGCGAGGGAGGGAGAGAUCGGGGCGGCCUCAAUUAUGCGCAGAUCGAUCAGCCCGACCGCCAAGAAAGUGAGCUUGGUUUGCUGUUAGCUAGACUCGAGCCGGAGCCUGAUGCGACUGGCGAUGUAAAUGCAUGUGGUGGCACUUCGGGACACUGCUCCUGCCCGGUUCCUUUUCACCAACAGAUUCGGGCAGAUGCCAGCGCCACCAUCUUAUUUAUAAGCUACAGUGGCCAAGAAGCACCACCAUCUUAUUUAUAACCUACAGUGCCAAGAAGAGUGGCGACGCCGCUUCCGAACUACAGUACUCGAGCCCACGUAUGCACGCACCUUUCCAACUCGAGCUCACGACCAAAUGCCGCGCGCGCCGUCGAGUUAUUCUGGCGUUCCUUCCACAACGGCAUGCUUGAUCUUCCCUGUUCAUCGCGACGCGUCGCAUUAUUGCCGCUUGAUUGAUUGGUUGCACCCGGUCUGCCGGCUACAACCACCCUAUCAAUCAAAUUAAGAAAAAGAAUUAAGCUGCUGCUUGCAUUAUUAUUAAGAAAAUCAAGCUAGCAAGCACUCAAUCCCACCCCUAAGAAAAGCUUAAAGCUCAUGCAUUAUGCCAUAGUCUAUGCUACAUGUGGUGACCUCGUGGCUGAUCUGCGAAUUAGUGCGAUAUGAUGAUGCUGAUAUCCGACGAAUCAUCGCGCUCAGAAUCAACACGUACGGGGAGAAACAUUGUUUAUUAGCACCCCGUAUCGAUCCGUGUCCACUAGCAUUCACUUCUCUAGUCGCAGGUUUGGCGUCCUUGUCUUGUAACAACUAACAACGACUAGCUCGUCGACGAGUCGUUUGGUUCUGGCCAACGGAGCCGAAUAUCUUGAGCUCCAAUCGCUUCAGGCGUAGAGUAGACGCCGCGACCUUUGACAUCGUCGGCAUUUUCGCAAUCUUGAGAGUGAAAUGAAUGCUAAGUGUAUACCAGAGCUGAUGUUAACGUUCUUACCAAUCAGGAAAAUAAAAGGUUUUGCGAUCUUACAACAUUGUCAUUUUUCCAAUCUUGAGAGUGAAAUGAAUGCUAUGUUGUACUCAGGUAUAUCAGAGCCAAUCUUAACGUUCUUAACAAUCACAUGCAGCUAGCUAAGCGAUGCCGCAGUGUCGCCUACCGCUGGUUCCUGUCCCCGACACCACGAUAGCCUUGUGGUGAGGACCUCUUUUGCACAAGCUUUCAUCGAUUCAUGAGAUGAGAUCUCAGUUCAGUACUCUGGCGACGAAGUAGUACCUAAACUAUAAAGAUACAGUAAACCACAUACCCAAAGCAACUGACCCGGAUGCUGCACGCGCGGUGGGCAUGCAGAUCGCUGGAUCGCGAUCCGCCCACUACCCCACCUGCAUGCGCCCAUGCAUGAGGGCACACCCACGCAGACCCAUCCACGUCCUAAACGAAGGCUGGUCAUAAUGAUGAUAUCAUAAACGGUAUCGUAUAAGCUAUUUUUUUAAUGCUAUAUCACAUAAUUAAAUGAUAAAGAAAGGAUGUGGUAUCAGACUAGCCAUAGUGGGAGUAACUUCAAUAGUAACAUCGAGUCCAACUCAGCAAAUUUGCUUAUGUGGCAAUGAGUUAAUAAGGAGAGAGAUAGUAGUAGUAACUUAGCUAGUUACUGUAACAUCACAUGUCCCAAUGCAAUAUGAGUCUAUAACCUAAUAAAUGAAGCUAUGCAUGUUACCACACACUAUGAAGGUAGUAACAUGGUCUAGGAAUACGUGUAUGUUACUAGUAUAUAUUACUCUCCAUUGUGGCUAUUCUCAUAUCAUGAUAUUGUAUCAUUAUGAUGUUGUACUACUUUGUGUCAUGCAUAAUAAUUAAUAAGGCAACCUAAGAUACUAACUUAUGAUACUAUGCAUCACAGUGCAUGCCAUUUUUACUCGCAAAGGAUUCGCCAUGCCCUCGCUCUCGCCCUCUCCCGCUCCGGGGUCGGCGACCACCAUACCGGCGCUGCGCACCCCGCGCUCGUCGGCCACCCCCUCCCCAACCAGCUCCCGUAGCCGUUGGAGCGCGCCCGGUUCCUCUGACACGGCUGCUGCUCGCAUUCGGGCUGGCCUCGCGGCCUCCGCUGGGGCUGGAGUCGUUGCCAGAUCCGCUGGAUCUUGCGCUUCCCCCGCGGCCCCUUCCAUCUUCGAGGUGGGGGAGUCGAGCCGACAGGCCGCGCUCAGGCCGCGUGCUGCUGCCCCGCAUUCAUCACCUGCUCCGGCCUACCCCCUCGCCUCAGAUCUAUCAUCUGCACGCCACACAGCUACCCCUCCGUCCCGCCGGCACGCCAUGGCCGCCUUAAAUCCAUCGUCUGCGCGCCUGCAGCGCUCGCCAUUAACUCGCGGACAGUGCGCCCUCCCCGGGCCGCACCUUCGCGCUCUCCUCCAGGCGGAGUUAUCUCGCCUGCAUUGCGCCCUGCCCACUCCGCCUCUCAGCGCAACCAGCAUCGCCAGCAGGAUUCCCGCGAUGACCCGGUCCAAGCCUACCCGAAAUGGCAGCAGGUCGUUUCGAGGCGCCGGCGGCGUGCGCCGCCCGUACUUGCUCCGGGCGCUCGGAGUUAUGCCCGCGCGUCUCCCCCGAGGCACGUUGGCUGGCGCAGCAACACCACAGCGCCUUCUUAAGGAGGUUCCGGGGCUGCUGUCUUCGGUGUCUCGCCCCUCGCCACCAUGCCGUCGACUACCACGACCCGGUGAGAUGCGCUGACUGCUGGCGUUUCGGCCAUCGCUCUCGCUCCAAACUCUGUAGCCUCAGCCACCCCCCGCAAGCUCCACCGCACGCUCCGCCCCCCAGCCAUCUGCCUCAGCCACCACCACCCCCAUCUCGCCCGCUACCUCGCCAGUCUGCCCCGCCGGCGCCGCUGCCCGCCUCCCUUCCUCCUCCGCCCCCAGGUCCGCCCCCGCCAUGUGCCAUGGCGUACCGUCCCGGAGAGGCCUCCCAGCGGCCUAGGGCUGGCUCCACCUUCACCUUUUGCACGUCGGCGAUGGAGGAGGCGGCGCGCCAAUUGCGUUCAUCCGCGGUGGUCAUCACCAUGUCCCAGCUGCGUCACGACAUCAACCCCCAGCUUGUCGCCAAGGCGCUGGAGCGCGACCUCGGCAUCCCUUGGGAGGAGAUGCACGUCUCCAAGCACUCGCCGGAGGACUUCCUGGUGCGGUUCGCGCACGCCCGCCACAAGAACGUCGAUGUGGACGUCGGCGUGGCGACCUGCAGAGGCGUGGCGCUCUCCAUCGCUCCGUGGUCGCCGGUGGCGCAUGGUCAUCAGCGGGCCUGGCGGUUCUACUGCAGGCUUGCGGUAGAAGGUAUCCCCGUCCAAGCCUGGACCAAGGAGGCGGUGCAGGACGCCAUCGGCCGCUCCUGCCACGUCGAGCGGCUCGAGAGGCAGUCCACGUCGCUCUCCAACACCUCCUGUGUCUACGCAUGGGUGUGGGCAUGGUCGCCUGACGACAUCCCCACGGCCAACGGCUUCUCCAUCAUCGACCGCCCUGACGAUGGCCGUGGCCGCCAAGCGCUGCCAGAGGGCUGCCCCAGCUUUGACGGGCCCUGCGGCCCGCAGUUUCCAGUGCUCAUCCAUUUGGAUCGCACCCGCAACUACUCGCCACUUGAAGAUCGCCCCCCCAGCGCGGACCAGGACUGGCCCCACGAUAAGCGCUUCCACUGGGAGCGACGCACGGAGGACGGCCAGGCCGGAACUGGCAGGCGUCGUGCUGUUGCUGCUUCCUGUGCUAGGCCAAGGCCGCGCCCUCGAGAUGACGACGACGACAACCAGGGCCGAGAUGGGCGCGGUCGGCAGCACCAUGCCCAUUCCCGUUCGGCGUGGCGCUCCGGUCUGCUCGGUUGCCGCUCCGACGAGGUGGCGCCCAGCCGUGUUCGGCGACAAGGAGGCGGCGGUGGCGGGCGCCCCGGUAGGCGCCGGGUGGUCUCCCAGGACGACGUGCCCGGCAGGCAGGCCCGCAGCCUGAGCCCACCUUCUGACGGCUUGGGGCGUCGGGACCGCUCUCGCUCGCGGGACCGCACAUCGCCGACAAGUUUGGAGGCUUCCUCCUUGGAGGCAGGUGGCGUGCCUGUCUCUCCGCACGGCUGCCUGCCCUCAAGCGGCGCGUUGCUCCAGGAGGGCACGGUGCAGGUGCUCCAGGGCGUCCCUGUCGCCCCGGGCGUGGCGCCUGCCCCCGUGCUAGAAGGGGUCCCCGUGGGCGUCUUCCUUGAGCCUGACAUGGGGCCGUUCCACGAGGAGGUGGGGGCCUUUUGGGAGGAGCUCACGCGCUCUGACCCCCAGUUGUUCGAGCUCGACGCCCUAUCGGCCUAGCAGUCCGGUCAGCUGGAGCCCGGGGUGCAGGCUGCCGAUGACUGCGCGGCCUGGGUGCAGCCGCGCCCUCCCCAACCCCACGGACUACCUGCAUGGGAGGAGCUCGAGGAGCCACGCACCAGCGUCCUCGUUGGCCCAGGACCUGCUGGCCAAGCCAUGGCCCUCGCUGGGUUAUUUGGUUCCCGCACCGAUCGAGCCUGCCCCUCUAGCGGCAGCCCAGGAGCUGACCUGGCCGGUGGGGACGGUUAACCAUCGGGUGGAGUGCAUCAUGUCAGCAGAUCAACUCGCAGCAUAGCUUCAGGAUCUGGAGGUCGACGAGGCAACCACGUUCCUCUCCAAAGUUUUCCGUCUGCUACCACCCUCCGUCAUUGGUGCGCCACCUUGCUUGGACUCCAAUGCCUCCACUGAUGACACCCUGCCAUGGCCGGCCUCCAAUGCCACGGCUCCGGCCCCAGAGCCGCCGACGCUGAUGAUCAAGACCCCGGCCGUCCCCCGCCGGGCCAGCCCACGGGUCGCGGCCAGGGCGGCCGGCAUGACCCAGCAGCAGAAGGCGCAAGCUAGGCUCGCCAAGCAGUUGGCGUUUAUUGACCACCCAGGCCAGUUCACGGCCGAUGUGCGUCAGCGCUACACUGAUCGCUUCAAGGCGCCACUGGGAAGGAUGGUCUCCGCGUUAGGGCGGGCGGCGGGAGUGCACUCUUCGGCCACCCUCAACCUUCCGGACGAGGACCUGCUCGAGCUUGCCGGCGAUGCCGCCUGAUGCAAUCCAGAUGUCCAAGGGGCCCUGUUCUGUUGUUAUGUUAGUCCGUCUCCAGUUCGUGUCGUGUUGUAGCCACCACGCCGUCCCCGGACCGCGUCGUAGGCUAGGCUUUAGUUUGUUGCGACCUCGCCGGGCGCCCGUGUUGUCACUCCGGCCGUACCAGCUCAUGUGUGUUCGCUUCGCUGCUCCCUGUUCGAGCAUGCCAAUGCAAUGGGUCUUUGUUCGUGUUUGCCCUGAGUAGCUUUUCUCUGUUGAACUGGAACGCAAGGGGCCUGAAUGACCGCGCCCGUAGAUGGGGUGUGCGAUCGCUCGUGGAGCAGUCUAGAUGCUCGAUCCUUUGUGUGCAGGAAACCAAGCGCGAAGCAAUUCUGGCUGCCAUGCUUGCUGAGAUCGUAGGGCCGAGGUUGGGGAGCUCGUUGGUUCUGCCUGCGGCUGGAACGCGGGGAGGAGUUCUAUUGGCCUGGGAUGCUGCCUCCUUCCAGAUCGAUCAGAUUGAUAUGUCAGCCUUCGCCAUUACCGCGCUAGUGGCGCCGCUGGUGGGUGGUGCGGCCUGGACGCUGACCACGGUCUAUGGGCCCUCAGAGGAAGACACCAAACCUCUUUUCCUUGCUGACCUGGCUCGGAUUCGUGGGCUUAUUUUCGGACCCUGGCUUAUAAUCAGGAAUUUUAACCUAAUUUAUGAAGCCCGGGACAAGAGCAACUCCAACAUCAAUCUGCGGCUUAUGGCGCGAUUUCGAUCGGCGCUAAAUAACAGCGACCUCAAGGAGAUCAAUUUAUGCGGCAGGCGCUUCACAUGGUCAAACGAGCAAGCCUCGCCCACGCUGGUCCGCCUGGAUCGCGCCUUCUGCACGCCGGAGUGGGAUCUCCAGUUCAGUGCAGCAUGGCUCCAACCCCUCGCCACGGCCAUGUCAGAUCACUGCCCUCUCCUCUUGACAUGUGAGUCCUCCUCGCGGCCUAGUGCGCGGUUCCGUUUCGAAGCCUUCUGGCCGCACGUCUCUGGGUUCAAGGAGGUUGUGGCAGCAGUCUGGAACGCGCCAGGUGUGCAGGGAUGCGCGCUUAUCAGGUUGGACACAAAGCUCAAGCGGGCGGCUAGAGCGCUCCGUCUUUGGCACAAGCACCACAUCGGGAACACUCGCUUGCAGCUGCUGAUGGCGUAGGACACAGUUCUGUUGCUCGACCAAGCUCAGGAAGAUAGGCAGCUCGAGCUGGACGAGCUAACCCUACGCAAAGAGCUCAAGUCCCGCAUUCUUGGUCUCACAGUCAUCGAGCGCAUCAAGGCCAGGCAGCGCGCCAGAGUCAGGAAAGUUCGAGAGGGUGAUGCCAACACCAAGUAUUUUCACAUAAAAGCUAAUGGCUAUCGAAGGAAAAACUUCAUUGGCUCAUUGGCUUCGGGCAGCGUUUUGGCCACUGAGCAACGCCACAAAGAGCAGAUCGCGACCGAGUUCUUCGACCGCUUGCUCGGGGACCCAGGCUCGGUGUCAACGGGGUUCAACUGGGAUGCGCUGGGCCUUUCUAGGGCCAAUCUCAAUGACCUAGAGGUCGCGUUCACCCGGGAGGAAAUCGCAGCGGCCAUUGCGGACCUGCCGCCAGAUCGGGCCCCGGGCCCGGAUGGUUUUUCAGGGGCUUUCUACAAGGUGGCGGCGGAAAUCAUUUUAGAUGACCUGGUGCUCGCAUUCCAGCAGCUGCACUGCAUGAACCGGACAGGCCUGCACCUGCUCAAUGGGGCGCACGUCGUGCUCUUGGCCAAGAAAGAUGGGGCUUCGAGCAUGGCGGACUACAAGCCCAUCAGCCUGCUGCACAGCGUGGCGAAGCUCUUUAGCAAGGUGCUUGCAUUGAGGCUUACCAAGCGGAUCGACACGCUCAUCUCGCCGACAUAGAGCGCCUUCAUCAAGGGCAGAUGCAUCCAAGACAAUUUCAUUUUUGUGCAAGGGAUGGCCAGGCACUUCCACAUGAUAAAGCGGGCCGCUAUUUUGCUAAAGCUUGAUAUAGCAAAAACAUUCGACACCGUCUCCUGGCCCUACCUGUUGGACAUGAUGCGUGCGAGAGGUUUCGGGUCACGCUGGUGCAACUGGAUCGCCAUGCUCCUCGCCACCAGCUCGUCCAGGGUGCUCGUCAACAAGGCGUUAGGCCGGUCGAUCAGGCACCACAGGGGGGCUCAGGCAGGGCGACUCGAUUUCCCCUUUCUUGUUCAUCCUCGCCAUGGAGCCGCUCCAGAGGCUGCUAGACUUAGCAGUCCAUGAUGGGCUGCUUUCCAAGUUAAAGGGGAGGAUUCCAAGCCUACGAACCUCUCUCUACGCGGAUGACGUUGCUCUCUUCUUAAACCAUAUCCACCAAGAGCUUCUUGCCGUUCAGCAGAUUCUGCAAGCCUUUGGGCAUGCCACGAGGCUACACGUAAAUUUCUCCAAGAGCAAGGCCAUUCCGAUCCGCCCCGAGCUUUUCGAUGUGGAGAAUGUCAUACAACCGCUCGGGGCCGCGCGCGCCGCCCUGCCAUGUUGUUUCUUGGGCCUCCCCCUGUCCCUUCGCAAGGUUCGCAAAGCUGAGCUGCAGCCGUUGCUGGACAAGAUCUUGGCCCGUCUCGCCGCAUGGAAAUUCAAGCUUUUCACUGCUGCCGUCCAUCUUGUGCUCCCGAACUCUGUGCUCUCCGUGUUGGCUGUAUAUUGGCUUUCAGUUCAUCAACUACCAGCCUGGGUGAGGCGUCAGAUAGACAAAAUCAGAAGAGCGUGGCUCUGGCGUGGACAGGAGAGUUGCCUUGGAGGGCACUGCAAGGUUGCAUGGGGUAGGAUAUGCAGACCUAAAGAGCUCGGAGGUUUGGGCAUCAUCGACCUUGACCGCUUCGGAAUCGCUCUCAGGCUGAGAUGGCUUUGGUGGGAAAAGACGGCCCCCUACAAACCUUGGAUUGGUCUCCCCGUGUCGUGCAAUGAGGACGACCGCCGUCUGUUUGCGGCUGCCACAACCGUGGUGCUAGGCGAUGGCCGAACGGCCUCCUUUUGGAUGGACAGUUGGCUGCAAGGCCAAGCUCCAUGCCACAUUGCGCCAGAACUGUUUCGCCUCUCGAAACACAAGCAUAGCACCGUGCGGCAGGCACUAAACGGCAACCGUUGGGUGACCAACCUGGGUGGACGAGUCCCAAGUAACCUGCUCGCUGCUUUUGUUUCUCUCUGGGGCAGGAUCAGUGCUGCGACCAUCCUUGAUACAGGCAGGGACAAGUUCACCUGGAAGCUUGAGGCCUCUGGCAGCUACUCGGCCUCGUCGGCAUACCGAUUGCAAUUCAUGGUGUCCACCUCCUCGCCUAUCAUGCACUUGGUCUGGCAUGCCCGGGCGCCGGCCAAGAUUAAGUUUUUCACAUGGCUCCUAUCUGCCGGUCGACUGCUCACGGCGGACCGGCUCAUGGCCAGGGCAUGGCCCAAUUCCUAUUUCUGUCCAUUGUGCUGGCGCAACCUGGAGACCGCUCAACACCUAUUUAGGAAGUGCAUUUGGUCGAGGAACCUCUGGACGGCAGCGGCCAGCCGCUUCCGCGUUCCCACCUUCCUUCCUUCCUUGCUCCUGGAGGUCCACAAACUGCAUGGUGGAGUGGCUGGACGGCCUCAGUGUGGUGCCUCAUGACCACAAGCGGGCGCGAUCAAUCGCUCUCCUAACCAAUUGGUGGAUUUGGCUAGAGCGUAACGGCUGCAUCUUCAGGGAUCUCAAGCACCCCGUCCGGGUAGUGCUGGAGCUUCUCACCGAUGACCUAGCUACGUGGGCACUAGCAGGGGGUAACCAUCUGAUGCUGCGAGAGUGAGGACCUUGCAACCUGGGUUCUUGUUUUUCUUUCUUUUGUAUUUUGGCAGAUGUCGGCUGCUUUUGUACAGACUAGCGCUCUGUCGCUGCUUCCUCUCACAAUGCACACGCAGUUCACCUGCGCUUCCUAAAAAAAGAUACUAUGCAUCACGAAAGUAGUAUCAUAUACUAGUAUCAUAUGCAUGAUCAUACUAGUAUAUGAUUCUCUCUAUUAGAGCAUCUUCAGCCGCGCCCCCAAUAGGGCCUUAGGGUGACUUUUUUCGCGCCGGCGUCGAACCCCCCCCCCCCUCAGCUGCGUCCUCAAGACGUCGAAAUCCGCUGGCUCGGCCCUUUUUGGACCCGGCGAUCCCAGACCGAAUCCAGUGCACUGGGGCGCUCAGGGGCUCCGGCGGAAGGGAAAAACACGCCUGGCCCACACCGUCAAACGAAAAGUCAAGGCAAUCGUCCAGAUUCGCUCCCACCCUCAUGCGCUCGGCCACCACCCUGCUGAUUCUGGCGCCGCUCACCGCCCAACACCGCUAGAUAGGCCAUUCCUUGCCGGAAAAGAGAGAAUAUUUCGUCGCGACAAACUCUCCACCACCUUCCGAGUGAGUUUUCCGGCGCUUCGACCACGCAGGGCGGUAUACCAACGGUGAUUUGUCUGCUCGGCGAUGAAUUCAGAUGACGAGGAGGCACUCGCGGCAUUGCUGGAGGAGGAAGCCAAUGCCGACGUCCAGGGCGAGGGAGCAUCUCAUGGUCCUUGCCACCCUCGUCGUCCUGCUCGCGAGCAAUGAAAAGCCGCGGCGAGGUGGCUCGGCGCCGGGGCGGCUGAAAGCAAAGAACCGGCAUCGCUUGGAAGGCUAUUGCAUGCUCUACUCCGACUACUUCGCCGACGCUCCAUUGCAUGGCGACAAAGUAUUUCGGCGCCGUUAUCGGAUGAGCCGAAAGAUUUUCCUCAGGAUUGUGUAUUCCAUCCGGGAGUUCGACAUCUACUUCAAGUGCAAGAAGGAUUGCACUGGCAAACUUGGAUUCACCUCAAUCCAUAAGUGCACGACAAUUAUGAGGAUGCUUGCAUACGGAGCUCCCGAUGAUUCACUCGACGACUAUGGGUGCAUGGCCGAGUCCACGACCAUUGAGUGUUUCAACAAGUUGUCCAGGGCAGUGGUGGCAGUGUUUGGACCGCAAUACUUGUGAACACCCAAUGUUGAAGACACUACUCGGAUCCUAGCACAAAAUGUAGCAAGAGGAUUUCUUGAGAUGCUUGGAAGCAUCAACUGCAUGCAUUGGAAAUGGAAGAACUGUCCAUUUGCUUGGCAGGGGAUGUACAAAGGCGCCAAAGGCGGUUGCAGUGUGGUACUUGAGGCAGUGGCCACACAUGACCUCUGGAUUUGGCACUCCUUUGGUAUGCCAGGAACUCACAAUGACAUCAACGUGCUGCAGUGCUCCCCUGUCUUUGCCAAGCUUGUUGAAGGUCAUUCUCCUCCUAUGAACUUCGAGGUCAAUGGGCGGCACUACAACAAGGGAUACUACCUAGCCGAUGGCAUCUAUCCGAGAUGGUCUACAUUUGUGAAGACUAUCUCAAACUCUGUGCCAGGAGGCAAGAACUCCCACUUUGUGAAGGUUCAGGAGGCUUGCAGGAAGGGUGUCGAGCGGGCAUUUGGUGUGCUCCAAUCUCGAUUUGCUGUUGUCCGGUACCCCACUCAAACCUGGUCGAAAGAUCAAAUGUGGGAGAUCAUGACUUCCUAUGUCAUCUUGCACAACAUGAUCAUUGAGAGCGAGCAGGAAGAGCCAAUGUUUGACAUUGAACCAUAUUACAGGUAGGGUCCUCUUGUGCAAGUUGAUCAUCAGCUACCGGCAACCUGGAUUGUCUUCCUCAAUAUGCGUCAGGAGAUCCGAGACACAUAGGUGCACCAACAACUGCAGCAGGAUCUGGUGGAGCACCUAUGGCGGCUCAAGGGCAACGCCUAGCUCGACAUGUGAUGAAAGACGAGUUUUUAUUUGUUGAACUAUAUAAUUUGUAUUAAACUAUUUGUUGUUGAACUAUUUCAUUUCUCUUGAUUUUCUGUGAUGAACUAUGUGAUAAAAAAAUUGCGUCGAACCACGGUGAAUAUGGGUCGAUUUGCGCCGAUAGCAGGUCGAUUUUUCGCCGAAAGUGGGCUGAAAAGCGGGCACAUUGGGCCGAUAUGGGCGCUUGGAGGCGACAUGGGGCAGCGGCUGGAAACCCAAUCACCCCAGAGACGAUUUUCGCGCUGGCUCAUCCCCAGACGUCGAUUUUUAAGCCCCCUAGAGGCCAACGGCUGGAGAUGCUCUUACGGGCAGCCUCAAGGCGACUGGACGCUGCAAGGCUUGGCCAGGGGCAGUGGGUACCUGCUAUACGCUGCAAUUCACAACGGGGUUAGGCCAACUCCACCGUAUGACCCCAAACGGAUGUCCGGUUUUGCCGGAUUUUGUCCCUUUGGGGCGGCAAUGGGUUUGCCCAUGUCCGCCUCUGUCCAUUGGGUCGUGGGUGCGCCCAGCGCGUGGCCGCACCCCAAAUCAUGUCCGUGUUGGACGUGAUAAAAAACAGAAAAACUUAAAUAAAAUGACUUUAAAAGUAAAUAAACGCAGAUAAAAAACUUGAAACAUAAUUUAAGGGGUCCAUGGUGCACGGGGGCGGCGGGCGGGACGGUGGCAGGUGUCUGCACCACCCCCUCCUGUGGCGAGGCGUCCCGCUCCGAUGACCCCGGCGGCGUGGGGCACCAGUUCACGCCCCCACGGCGUCCGCCAUCUCCGGAGCCGUGCACGACCAGCUCCAGUGCUGGCCCACCAGGCCCGGGUGGAACGCGGCCAUCGGCGGCUCCUCCAUCACCUUCUCCUUCGCCACCAUCUCCAGCUUGGGGAUGGCGACGUCGCCUGCUGCAGAGAGGGCCGUCAUCUCCUCGAGGCCCUCCCAUUGGCGCUCAUCGUGCGUGCGCAUGGAGUCCUCCAUGACACGCGCCAUGAGACGGGCCUCCUCCUCCGCUGUCAUGCGAGGAGGUGGAGGUGGUGAUGGAGACGGGGAAGGCGGCGACGUGGGCGUGAGGCCGCGCACCCGCGUACGCCGGCGCACCUCCCGACAUGGCCGCCGCGGCCCCGACACCGUGCCGGCGAAGUAGGAUGCGCGUCGCACGUCGUGCUCGUCCUGGAGCCACGUGUCCCAGAGCACGGAGUCGGGGGCGUACCUCUCGUCGUAGUAGAGGUCGUUGGGGAGGAGGCGGCGGCGGUGCUCAAUCUCAUCACGUCGUGCACGGCCGCUCAUCGACACCGGCGAGAUCGGGACCCGGUCGGCGGAGAGGUGCCAAUUGUUGGGGAGGUGCACGUCGCUCCACGGGACCGGCGUCCUCGUCUCCCAGUACGGCCGGCAUACGUCCACGGCCAGGUACUGUCGGUCGCGCUCGCCGGCGGCCCUAGGGGCGAUGGUGAAGGGGGCAGGCGCAGGGGCUCGACGGGUGGUGCGCGGCGGUGAUGCGGGCUCCUCCUUCUUCACGGAGCCGCGGCGGCGCCCCGAGGAGGAGCCAGCCUCGCGGUCGUGCUUCCCCUUGCGGCCGUGGUUCCAGAAGCCCAUGGCUGCGAGGCGGCCGGCCGGCGAGUUCGAGGCUAGGGUUUUGGUGCUGUCGGGUUUCGAGGAGGCCGCGGGGUGGAGUGGGAGUGUGGACGACGACCGGUCCACGGGUUCCCCAUUUAAGAAGGACCGCGGCUGUUCGGCUGGGCGGAUGACAGGUGGGGCCGCCCGCGCGUUCGCAUUGAUGUGGACGGGUGGAGGUAGGUGGCCGCCUGCCACGUGGCCCCGACGCGGACGAGGCGCGCGUCUGCUUGAUGUCCGCCGCGACCCAAACCCGACGCAUGUUUGCACUCGAAAUGGGUCGGCCCGGACACAAAACGAACCAGAUUGAUCCGGACCGUCGCGCGUUGGGCCGAUCUGUUUGUUCCUUUACCCCAAACGAACGGGGUCGGACAGAAUAGGGUCGCGCAGUGGAGUUGGCCUUAUUGCCUCCUUGAUUAUUCGUUUCGAUCAAUGCCUGGUGGCAAGUCAUGUGGCCUCCAUUUGUCGUCGAUCUCGAGGGGAAAACUCAAAAAAGACUCGGCGCCCUCCACGCAUGCAUGCUCCGCGCCACGGAUCCGGCUUGCUUGCUCCUUCCUCAUGCUUCCAUCCGUGCUUCCACUUCAUGCUACGAUUGUCUUUUUUUCUUUUUUUCUUUCUAAUCUAAUCAUUCCCUCCCUGAUUUUAAAGGGGUGGGGCCGAGCCAUAUUUUGUUCCAAUCGAAUCAAGCCAUGUAUACGAAAGUACGGAUGUGCACACGUCAGGGAGCAGGCAAGUCUUGUCCCCGCGCCACACCCCCUCCACGCAUGCAUGCAUGCUCCGCGCCACACCCCCUCCACGCAUGCAUGCUCCGCGCCACACCCCCUCCACCCACCCCUCUGCCGCAUCAUGCAUGCAUCGUGUGGGUACGUGCGUAGUACAGCGUAGCACACGAAUGCAUAUGCUUCCUUUCUCUGUCUGCUGCUGUAGUACUGUGCAUGUACUACCAGUCAUCAGGUAUUAUUAGAUCAGUUUUGCGAAGUCUUAGUCGACUGAGAUCUUAUAUUAAGAUUAGGUGUGGCCAGGUCUCAGUCGACUAAAAUUUAACAAGGUCUUAGUUGACUGAGAUUUAACAACGUCUCAAUCAAAGUGUCAUAAUAUGCAAGAAAGAGAAAGAAAAAAUAAAAAGAAAUUUUACACCAAUCUCAAUGUGAGAUCUUACUGAUAUAACAUUUUUUUUAAACUUACGGAUAUAACAUAGACUGAGAUUUAGCGAAAUCUCAGUUGACUGAGAUUUAGCAAGACUGUAUUAGAUUCUAACAGUAAGUUGAUAUCGUCAUAGACGCCCACGGUAAAAAACACGAAUCUGUCCGUCGUAUAAUUUCGACACCAGGUACGCAAGCACGUAAGAGUCGAGUCGGGGGACACAUGCUGACACGCAUGCACGCACGAUUGGCGAGACGCGACAGCCCUACCAGCAGAGCCGUGCAUAGAGAGCAAAGCGUGCGGCACGGCUGGAUCACUUAUUCACCUGCCUCCUGGGGCACCCCACAACGCCCUGCCUGCCUGCCUGCUCGUGUUGCUCGCGCAUCUUCGCCCUAGCUCGACUGCGUCCAGCUCCAGUCGAUGUGAGAGGCAAGUCAGGAAGCACACACGGACCUAGUACGAAUGUCGACCGGGAGGGUGUCCCCGCUGCGUCUAGCGCAUUAGCAUCGCCACUGCCAUUUUUGAGGAUCAGUGCUGCUGAUUCAUUAGGAGGCGUCGCCGCAUGCAGGUGGUGCGACCCCUGCACUGCCACCGCCACAGGGUGGCAUGCAUGCGGCCGGAGAGGGUGGGGUCUCGCGUUUACGCGCUUGUGGUGUGUCAAUCUGUCAUCUGUGUGUCUCGUGUGCAGUCAUGGCGCUGUGUGCGUGACUGCUAGCGGGUACGUACGUGGCUACGACCGAUGGUGAUGUGCCGUCGGUGUGGCCAUGCAUGGUACGUCGAAUGGUGUCAAGUCGAGCACGACGGACCGUCGUCAUCUUUCUCCACCACACAUGCAUGUCCUGACAGUUUCAGGGUCAGUUCUAGACGAGCGACUAUGAAGCUCUGCCGAUGGAGUCAUGACACGUACACACAUGAAAUCGUGGCUACAUCAUUUGCAUUUGGGGCGCGACGAAUUAUUUGUUUUUGGUUUCAGAAUGUGUACAUGGCACCUUGGGUAAUGGAGAACUCUGUUAGAGGAUGGUGGUUAAGGAAAAUGACACGCACAAGCCACCAAAGGAAGGCGAUGGACACGCUCUGCCGCUCACAAUACUUGUCAACAUGCACAACCUGGAAGAAAUGAAAUGUGAGAAUCCUCCGCAAACCUCGACGACGCCAACUAUCAUCCUAUUAAUACCAUUUCUCAUCCUUUUUUCUUUUCUUGUUCGGCCUAGUGAUCCCAAAUAGAAUUUUUUUUGUGUGGUUAAAAAGAGUUUUAUUUCAUAAUGAUCGAGUUAUAAUCACGAGAUAACAAGUCCUCAUAGAAAGGUAGGCUUGAAUUCAGCCAUACUGCAGUACAAGCAUUGGUACGGCUAUAAAGAGCCAGUUGAUGUGCUACCUUAUUCUGAUCUCUACUAAUUUUCAGUGGAAGAAACUCUCUAUCAACCAUAAAAGCUUUAAUCUCCGCAGCUAAGUGUCCGUAGGCCGACCUACACAACGUAUCUCCUUCAAUGGUGGCCAAAGCACUUGUAGAAUCUGACUGGACAAUGAUAGACAUAUCCGAAUGCUCAAUGGCCAGUGCCAUACCCUGUAUUAAAGCAUGAAUCUCCGUUUCGUCUAAGGCGUCGUUACAGUUGAAGAUAUAUCUAUAAGCCGCAAAUAUUGUUGAACCAUUCUCCCUUUGUAGCACCAUCCCAGCCGACGCGCGGCCCUCCUGAGCCGAGAAAGAUCCGUCCAUAAAGAGCGCCACCUAUCCCACCGGUGGUAGAGGCCAACGCUUAGAUCGAGCAUGGUUGGUAUCGGUAAUUUUUACUUGGCUGUGCACAACAAAUGGCAUCUUUCCCUUAAUAAUAUCCUCCAUGCUAUACUUCUUCGCCACAUUCAGAGAUUUAUAGUAACUGUCUAAGUAGUCAACAGUUGCCUGUACUGUGCACUCACCUUUCCCAUGCGUAAUGUCAUUGCGCAGCUGCCUGUACUGUCAACAGUUGCCUCUAGUCAUAAUUACAAGGUCUCUAACCUGUCCCGAACAAUUUGCCAAAAGCUGGAGCACCCAAUCUUUACCAGUAUCCCAAAUAGACUCGAUGCAUCGUAAAAUGUCUCCUAAAAGAUCCUCGAGAAACUAGCACGCAUGCACGUAAAAAACUAACCUCUCCAUCGAGCUGGCCGUUGGAUGGAUUCUUCCGAAGGACAAGCACGUAAUAAACACUACACGUACGAAUCGAUUCCGCCGGCCGGAGUCCGGAGAUGCAAGAGAAACGUACACGAACCCGCUGAUCUGAUCCGAACACACGCACACGGUGUCGGGUGUGAUGGGAUUAACUAAAUUAAGGAUCUGUCUAAGACACAUCUGGAUAUGACAUAGUUAUAUCACAUCUAAUCUGAUGUCCACUACGUUUGUGGUCUAUUUUUUUUAACUUUUUCUGGUUUCUUGUUGCUGCCUUAUUUGUGGAGUUUAGAUGUGACAUCCUUGGAAAACAUCUAGAUGUGAAUUAGAUAAACUGUCUAAGACACAUCUAGAUGUAACAUAGUUAUGUCACAUCUAACCUGAUGUCCACUACGUUUGCGGUCUAUUUUUUUUCUCAACCUUUUUUUUGGUUUUUUGUUGCCGCCUUAUUUGUGGAGCUUAGAUGUGAUAUCUUUAGAAAAUAUCUAGAUGUGAAUUAGAUAAAUUGUUUAGUUAAUUAGAUUAUCAUCAUUAAAGAACAAAUCUAUCUCUAAUAAGGAAUUACCAAUAUAUCCUGAAGAAAAUUUUUAAUCGAUCCAUACUAAUCAUUGGAUCAACUAAAUGCUACCCCACUAUUUUGGGUAGUAUGAUGUAUCGUAAUUUUUUUUGUGGUACGAGUCAAGUCAUUUGCCUCUGUUUUGAAAAAAGCAUAUCAAGGUGUGUACACACACGCAGCAUAAAUUUUAAGCGAUGGAUCGAGCAUAUUGGCCGUCGUGGUCAUGUCAUGGAUAUGGUACGAUCGAUUUUUCCACUGAAAGCACAAGAGAACCCGUGGAAUCUCCUCCGCUUCACCGUUCUGUGGCGUUCACACUUCUGACGGCAGAUCACUAGUCCAAAAGGUUGGUUCUAUAACGACGCACGGCCGCCUAGCUAUCGGUUUCUUUAGCUACUUGCAUACGCUUAACACGCUUCGCCACACAUGCUGCCGGCUGCUGUCAUGCAUGCCGACGAAGCUAUCGAGCUCACCAGCCCGUAUAUAACGUCGUUGUCACUAGGACAACUUGCAGAGUUGCAAGUUCAGGUUACUUUCUUGCUUUGUUUGCAAGUUGUACUGUGAUUCGCAUGAAUGUACCGUGCCUAAUUACUUGGAAAUGGAUACUAGCUCGUCAAUUAUUUAGUUGCAUUAAGGCUCCAUGAAUCUUAUAGUAUAUUUGCAAGGACAGAGAGAGAGCAUGGCAUAGGAUGAGAGAGAGAGGGAGAGCACUAGCUAGUGCCUCGGUACUAGGGAAAGGGGUUUUCAGCUCCUGCUGCUCCUAUCCUUGUUGGUGAUCGAUGGAUACAGAUUCCCUAGCGAAGCAAAGCGAGCAGCAAUCUAUUGGCCAUCAUCCUUGGCCAGCCAGCGCACAGCAAAUAUGGUGCUCUUCAAGCCUCACUUUUGGCUCCUUCCUUUACUCGAUGAUGCCCGGUCCUCGCAAAGACCCGGCUUUGGCCUUGUCUUUUUCCCGCUCUCCUUUUGAUUGCUAGUGCAUGCAUACGCGCUCAUGAUGCGUCGUUAAAUUUGUUUUAUUGCCAUCACAGUUGUAAAAGGACAAGAUAGGCAUGCAAAAGCUACCGGCGCCACGUACCUGGACCAUAGGAAUGCCUUUUCUAGCAUUGGUCUCGUUCACCCCUUGCUGCCUACCCAUACCUUAUCUCGAUAUACGUGUAAUCUACUCACACAUAAAAGACGUUUUGGAUUUUAAUAUAAACUAGAUACGAACUAAAAUGAAUGAACAAAUACACUAAAACGUGUCUACAUACAUUCGACUCACACUAAAAUUUGAGAACAGAGGGAGUAGCUACUUGCGUUCCUGAGUUCCGAACUAAUAUGCAUAUAUAGUUUAUGUAUUGCACGUGCACGGUCUAGUAUUGCUCGAAGAAUAGAAAAAAACACAAUUUCAAUCACUUGAUUAGCAUGAGAAAAUCAUAUUUACAUGCCAAAUCAACCAAACAUCAUGAUUUGCCAGCGAAUCAUCUGCCUACAAUCUUAGAACAUGAUAAAGAGAUGGAAACCCUGCCCCUUCUCCGUGAUGACAUGAGAGCACAAAAUAAUCUCCAAAGAUGGGCGAAAUCUCCAUUGAUACGUACAUGUAGAAGGCAGAUCUUCAUCAGAGAUAUAAUGAACCACAUGUAUCAAUGUUGUCGAGGAAAAUGCGCAAGCAUGUUUGAUCUCACCACAUAGUAACGAGAAAUGAACCUACAACAUCCCUUGAAAUGAACCUACAACGGUGGCUAGGGUUGGUGGUGUAUAUAUACGAGCUCUCCCGUAGCCUCCUCCCUUGAUGUAACAUCUCUCCUUUGAUCCAAGGGCUCUAGGAGCCCAAUCCUCUCCUAAAACAUUCCUUAAAGAACAAGGAAGUUGUAGGAACAAAUGAGACGAAAUUCACGAAGAGUGCCAUCUAGAAAGGUAAUUUUUGGUGAGGUUUGGAGCUCAUACGAGCAGGUGUACGACCACACGCGAUCGUUCGGUUGGGCGUCUUGCGUUGUGUCCCCCUCAGGUAAAACGACCGUCAUUUCUUCAUACGAACUCGGAAUUUGAUGUUUUUGGACUCAUUAGAUUCGUAUGAACGACACGGAUCCAUUUCUGAUUCUAGAUCUUAAUUUGGAGCACUUUGGAAAAAUGACCUUUUCACUCUUUGAAUUGGCUAAGUCUGGGGCGUGGAUAUCCUCCGUUGAAAUUCUUUCAUCGUGCUUAAUGCUUGGGAAAUCCACGUCACCUACAGGACACGCAAAUACAGAGAAAACUAAUAAAAACCAACGAAAAAUGAAGAAUAUGAAAUGUUCGUGGUGAAAAGAGUAACAAACUGGAAAUCAUGGAUAUGGACAUGUAAUUGGCUCAGUGGGACAUGAUAUGCUGAAAUAAUGUGCAACAAAUGAGCUCUAAAAAUGCGAAAAAUAUGGAGCCAUCACUCUUUCUUGUCAUAUGUGGAGAAUACUGUCGACUGAUACGUCUCCAACGUAUUUAUAAUUUUUUAUUGUUCCAUGCUAUUAUAGUAUCAAUCUUGAAUGUUUUAUAUGCAAUUGUAUGUCAUUAGAUAUCAUUUUGUGGGACUAACCUAUUAACUUAGUGCCAAGUGCCACUUGCUGUUUUUUUGCCUGUUGUUGGUUUUCCAGGAAAUCGGUACUAAAUGAAGUCCAAAUGCCAUAAAACAUUUGACAAUUUUUUUCUUGACAUAAGAUGUUGGGGAACGUAGUAAUUUCAAAAUUUUCCUACGCACACGCAAGAUCAUGGUGAUGCAUAGCAACGAGAGGGGAAGAGUGUUGUCCACGUACCCUCGUAGACUGUAAGCGGAAGCGUUAUGACAAUGCGGUUGAUGUAGUCGUACGUCUUCACAAUUGAUCGAUCCUAGUACCGAAAGUACGGCACCUCCGCGAUCUGCACACGUUCGGCUCGGUGACGUCCCACGAACUCUCGAUCCAGCUGAGUGUCGAGGGAGAAUUUCGUUAGCACGACGGCGUGAUGACGGUGAUGAUGAUGCUACCGUCGCAGGGAUUCUACUAAGCACUACGAUGAUAUGACCGAGGUGGAUUAUGAUGGAGGGGGGCACCGCACACGGCUAAGGGAUCAAUAAUCAACUUGUGCNNNNNNNNNNNNNNNNNNNNNNNNNNNNNNNNNNNNNNNNNNNNNNNNNNNNNNNNNNNNNNNNNNNNNNNNNNNNNNNNNNNNNNNNNNNNNNNNNNNNNNNNNNNNNNNNNNNNNNNNNNNNNNNNNNNNNNNNNNNNNNNNNNNNNNNNNNNNNNNNNNNNNNNNNNNNNNNNNNNNNNNNNNNNNNNNNNNNNNNNNNNNNNNNNNNNNNNNNNNNNNNNNNNNNNNNNNNNNNNNNGAUUCCCCCUGAGGGAGUCCUGGAUUAGGUGGUGUCCGGAUAGCCGGACUAUACCUUCGGUCGGACUCCUGGACUAUGAAGAUACAAGAUUGAAGACUUCGUCCCGUGUCCGGAAGGGACUUUCCUUGGCGUGGAGGCAAGCUUGGCUAUACGGAUAUGUAGAUCUCCUACCAUUGUAACCGACUCUGUGUAACCCUAGCCCUCUCCGGUGUCUAUAUAAACCGGAGGGUUUUAGUCCGUAGGACAAACAACAAUCAUACCAUAGGCUAUCUUCUAGGGUUUAGCCUCUCUGAUCUCGUGGUAGAUCUACUCUUGUAUUACCCAUAUCAUCAAUAUUAAUCAAGCAGGACAUAGGGUUUUUACCUCCAUCGAGAGGGCCCGAACCUGGGUAAAAACAUCGUGUCCCCGGUCUCCUGUUACCAUCCGCCUAGACGCACAGUUCGGGACCCCCUACCCGAGAUCCGCCGGUUUUGACACCGACAUUGGUGCUUUCAUUGAGAGUUCCUCUGUGUCGUCACUUUUAGGCCCGAUGGCUCCUCCGAUCAUCAACGACAAUGCGAUCCAGGGUGAGACUUUUCUCCCCGGACAGAUCUUCGUAUUUGGCGGCUUUUCUCUGCGGGCCAAUUCGCUUGGCCAUCUGGAGCAGAUCGAAAGCUACGCCCCUGGCCAUCAGGUCAGAUUUGGAAGUUUAAACUACACAGCGGACGACCGCGGAGACUUGAUCUUCGAUGGAUCUGAGCCGCAGCCGAGCGCGCCGCACUGUCACGAUGGGCAUGAUCUAGCUCUGCUGCCGAACAGUGCCCUGGAGGCUGCACCUGUGUCCGCUCCGACCCUUGGCUCGGAGCCGACCACACCAAUCGAGGAUGGGUGGUUAGACACCGCCUCGGGGGCUGCAAUCUCUAAGGCGAUCAAGCCGAACACCAGCCUUGUCCUCCACGAAGCCCGUGACUCCAAGAUGCCGGACUCCGAGCCCUCCGCACCCCUACUGACCGAAUCCGAUUGGGUGCCGAUCAUGGAGUUCACCGCCACAGACAUCUUUCAGCACUCGCCCUUCGGUGACAUUCUGAAUUCACUCAGGUCUCUCUCUUUGUCAGGAGAGUCCUGGCCGGACUAUGACCGGCAGGAUUGGGAUGUGGACGACGAAGAAAUUCGAUGCCCACCCACCACCCACUUCGUAGCCACUGUCGAUAAUUUAAACGACGUGCUCGACUUCGACUCCGAAGACAUCGACGGUAUGGACGACGAUGUAGGAGAUGAACAUGAACCAACGCUCGUGCUAAAUUAUCCUCAUGCUUAUAGUCAAAAUAAAGCUUUUACUAAACAUAUCGUUGAUGCUUUGAUGCAAUCUUAUGAAGAAAAACUUGAGUUGGAAGUUUCUAUCCCUAGAAAAAUUUAUGAUGAAUGGGAACAUACAAUUAAAAUUAAAAUUAAAGAUCAUGAAUGCUAUGCUUUGUGUGAUUUGGGUGCUAGUGUUCCCAUGAUUCCAAAAACUUUGUGUGAUUUGCUAGGUUUCCGUGAAUUUGAUAAUUGUUCUCUAAAGGCACUAGACAGCCACCUCAUCUCAUGAUGUAUACAUGGUGAACACACCCAAAGGAAGCGACGACGAGGAACACAGGGAUGCAACGAGGGAUCGUUCACUCGAAAAGCAAUCAAAGCGGCGACGUAAGUGCCGCUCCAAGCCCCGCCUCGACAGAGACAGCAGCCAUACAGACCCAACCAUAGAGCAGGACGAGCCGGCGGACGACGAGCAUGCCUUCGAGCAACCGUCCGAACAGGGCAACUUGGAUAAACAAACCGAACACCCCGUCCCCGGCGAAAACAACAGUCCGGACGACCUUACACCGGAUAGGCUCAUGGAGCAGAAGAACCUCCACAAAUGGCUCGUCGCCACUGCGCGUAGCCUGAAAAAGCAGAAGCGGAAGCUCAAAACUGCGGAAGAUGCACUCAGAAUCAGAUGGAGCAAAGUACGCAACACCGCAGACAAAUAUGGCGGCAGUCAUCGCACAAAAAGCUAUCCAAAGCGAAAGCUACUACCUGAAUUUGACGAGGAGGCCUUAGAGCCCCCGCAGUCAAAAAAUAGGAAAGCCACCCGGUCGGAUAAACGACCGCAUGGCCAGCAUGGAGCGGCAAGCGGCGCCACACACAAGCCGGCACGCGAUCCACCAAAGGAUCUGCAUCAAAAGAUUGCCCAGCCAGAUCUAUCUAUGGGCCAAGAAAGCAAACUCUAGUAAGCAAUGCAACACAACAAAUAUCCGAACAUCACGGCACACCCAAAUACAGGGGUGCCGCACACCCCCUAUGUUUCACCGAUGAGGUGCCGGACCAUGAAUUUCCAGCGGGAUUCAAGCCCGUAAACAUAGAGGCGUACGACAGAACAAUAGACCCUGGGGUCUGGAUCGAGGAUUAUAUCCUCCACAUACACAUGGCCAGAGGAGAUGACCUCCACGCCAUAAAAUACUUACCCCUCAAGCUUAAAGGGCCAGCCCGGCAUUGGCUCAAAAGCCUUCCCGAAAACACCAUUGGAAGUUGGGAAGAGCUUGAGGAUGCUUUCCGGGAAAAUUUUCAAGGGACCUAUGUCCGCCCUCUGGAUGCAGACGACCUCAGUCACAUAACUCAACAGCCCAGAGAGUCAGCCCGGAAAUUCUGGAACAAAUUUCUUACUAAAAAGAAUCAGAUAGUCGACUGUCCGGACGCCGAAGCCCUAGCAGCUUUUAAGCAUAACAUUCGAGACGAAUGGCUCGCCAGACACCUCGGCCAAGAAAAGCCAAGAACAAUGGCCGCAUUAACAAGCCUCAUGACCCGCUUUUGCGCAGGAGAGGACAUCUGGUUGGCAAGAUGUAGCACCAACGACCCAAGUACAUCCGAAGUUAGGGAUGGAAACGGAAAACCCCGACACAGCAAGGACCAGUGCCGGAAUAAGGGAAACAACCCAAAGAGCACGGCGGUCAACGCUAGAUUCAAAAGCUCGCGGCAGAAUCAGAGAAAGCCGCCCCUCAAGGAUAACAGGGACGAGCUAUCCAACUUAAACAAAAUCUUGGACAAGAUAUGUCAAAUACACAGUACUCUCGGGAAGCCUGCGAACCAUACCCAUAGAGAUUAUUGGGUUUUCAAGCAAUCCGGCAAACUCAACGCCGAACACAAGGGGCUCGACACACCAAGUGAGGACGACGAUGAACCCCACAAGCAGAGCACCAGGAAACAAAAGGAUUUCCCACAAGAAGUCAAAACAGUAAACUUACUUCACGCGACGAACAGAAUGGCGCCAACAAAGAUACGCGCCAUACGGCCUAUCCCAAAGGAGUCUCGCCAAUGGUUGUUAAAAUCGAUCACCUUCGACCAUCAUGAUUACUCUAGAAGUAUCCGGAAAGCAGGCUGGACUGCCUUGGUAUUAGAUCCAAUAAUCGGCGGACUCCACUUUACAAAUGUCCUGAUGGACGGCGGCAGUGGUCUAAACCUGUUAUACCAGGACACAAUCCGCAACAUGGGGAUAGACCCAACAAAAAUUCGCCAUAGAAAAACCUCCUUUCAAGGGGUAACACCAGGCCCGGAUGCCCGUUGCAUGGGUUCUCUCCGGCUAGAAGUUAUGUUCGGCUCCCCCGAUAACUUCCGUCACAAACAACUAAUUUUCCACAUCGCCCCAUUCUCAAGUAGCUAUCAAGCACUGUUGGUACGCGAAGCUUUCGCCCGCUUUAACGCAAUACCGCAUUAUGCAUCUCUUACGCUUAAAAUGCCCGGUCCACGAGGCAUCAUCUCAUUAAAGGGAAAACACUGAGUGUUCCUCCCGCGCGUAAGACAGUGCGGCUGCCUUGACAGCCCCACAACAAAGCGGCUUCACCAGCCAAAGCACCUAAACAGGUCGUCAAGACCACGGACAUGGCUAGACGAGUCCGGCAUAAACAUACAAUUGAUAAAGGCUUAAUAGCCGUAUACCCCUGUACUAGGGGCUCCACGCAUAUAAAACAAGAGACAAUAAAGCUCAAUUUUACCCAUUUCGAUUUAUACUUUGUUUAUUUAGUAUAACUCAUGUUCGGCAUGAUCUUUCUGUUGGAAAUAUGCCCUAGAGGCAAUAAUAAAAUGGUUAUUAUUAUAUUUCUUUGUUCAUGAUAAUUGUCUAUUGUUCAUGCUAUAAUUGUGUUAUCCGGAAAUCGUAAUACAUGUGUGAAUACAUAGACCACAACACGUCCCUAGUGAGCCUCUAGUUGACUAGCUCGUUGAUCAAAAGAUAGUCAUGGUUUCCUGACUAUGGACAUUGGAUGUCAUUGAUAACGGGAUCACAUCAUUAGGAGAAUGAUGUGAUGGACAAGACCCAAUCCUAAGCAUAGCUCAAAGAUCAUGUAGUUCGUUUGCUGUAGCUUUUCUGAAUGUCAAGUGUCAUUUCCUUAGACCAUGAGAUUGUGCAACUCCCGGAUACCGUAGGAGUGCCUUGGGUGUGCCAAACGUCACAACGUAACUGGGUGACUAUAAAGGUACAUUACAGGUAUCUCCGAAAGUGUCUGUUGGGUUGGCAUGAAUCGAGACUGGGAUUUGUCACUCUGUAUGACGAAGAGGUAUCUCUGGGCCCACUCGGUAAUGCAUCAUCAUAAUGAGCUCAAUGUGAUCAAGUGGUUGAUCACGGGAUCAUGCAUUAUGGUUCGAGUAAAGUGACUUGCCGGUAACGAGACUGAACAAGGUAUUGGGAUACCGACGAUCGAGUCUCGGGCAAGUAACGUACCGAUUGACAAAGGGAAUUGUAUACGGAUUGAUUGAAUCCUUGACAUCGUGGUUCAUCCGAGAUCAUCAAGGAGCAUGUGGGAGCCGACAUGGGUAUCCAGAUCCCGCUGUUGGUUAUUGACCGGAGAGUUGUCUCGGUCAUGUCUGCAUGUCUCCCGAACCCGUAGGGUCUACACACUUAAGGUUCGGUGACGCUAGGGUUGUUAGGAAGACUUGUAUGUGAUCACCGAAUGUUGUUCGGAGUCCCGGAUGAGAUCCCAGACGUCACGAGGAGUUCCGGAAUGGUCCGGAGGUGAAGAUUUGUAGGUAGGAAGUUGUCAUACGGUCACCGGAAAGGUUCGGGGGCAUAUCGGUAUUGUACCGGGGCCACCGGAGGGGUUCCGAGGGUCCAUCGCUCUUGGAGGGCCUAAUGGGCUGUAGAGGAAAGGGAACCAGCCCUACAUGGGCUGGCCGCAUCCCCCCUUGGGCCCAUGCGCCUAGGGUUGGGGGGGAAACCCUAAAGGGGGCACCCCCUUGCUUGGGGGGUGGGGGAGGGGCAAGCCCCCUCCCCUUGGCCGCCGCCCCCCCCCCCUUUGGAUCUCAUCUAGAGGGGGCCGGCCCCUUCCUCCUUCCCCUAUAAAUAGAGGGGCAAGGGGAGGGCUGCACAGAACAUCCAAGGCGCAGGCCCUCCCCUCCCCAACACCUCUCCUCCUCCGUAAGAGGUUGGCGAAGCCCUGCCGGAGUACUGCAGCUUCACCACCACCACGCCGUCGUGCUGCUGUUGGAGCCCUCUUCCCCAACCUCUCCCUCCUCCUUGCUGGAUCAAGGCGCGGGAGAUGUCCUCGCUCCGUACGUGUGUUGAACACGGAGGUGCCGUCCGUUCGGCGCUAGGAUCUUCGGUGAUUUGGAUCACGAUGAGUACGACUCCAUCAACCCCGUUCUCUUGAACGCUUCCGCUCGCGAUCUACAAGGGUAUGUAGAUGCACUCCUCUCUCCCUCGUUGCUAGAUGACUCCAUAGAUUGAUCUUGGUGAUGGGUAGAAAAUUUUAAAAUUCUGCUACGUUCCCCAACAGUGGCAUCAUGAGCUAGGUCUAUGCGUAGUUACUAUGCACGAGUAGAACACAAAGCAGUUGUGGGCGUCGAUAUUGUCAAUUAUCUUGCCGUUACUAGUCUUAUCUUGAUUCGGCGGCAUUGUGGGAUGAAGCGGCCCGGACAAACCUUACACGUAUGCUUACGUGAGACCGGUUCCACCGACUAACAUGCACUAGUUGCAUAAGGUGGCUGGCGGGUGUCUGUCUCUCCCACUUUAGUCGGAUCGGAUUCGAUGAACAGGGUCCUUAUGAAGGGUAAAUAGAAAUUGGCAAUUCAUGUUGUGGUUUUGGCGUAGGUAAGAAACGUUCUUGCUAGAAACCUAUAGCUGCCACGUAAAAACUUGCAACAACAAUUAGAGGACGUCUAACUUGUUUUUGCAGCAAGUGUUUUGUGAUGUGAUAUGGCCAAAGGAUGUGAUGAAUGAUAUAUGUGAUGUAUGAGAUGAUCAUGUUCUUGUAAUAGGAAUCACGACUUGCAUGUCAAUGAGUAUGACAACCGGCAGGAGCCAUAGGAGUUGUCUUUAUUUAUUUAUGACCUGCAUGUCAACAUAAACGUCAUGUAAUUACUUUACUUUAUUGCUAAAGCGUUAGCCAUAGUAGUAGAAGUAAUAGAUGACGAGACAACUUCAAGAAGACACGAUGAUGGAGAUCAUGGUGUCAUGUCGGUGACAACGAUGAUCAUGGAGCCCUGAAGAUGGAGAUCAAAAGGAGCAAAUGAUAUUGGCCAUAUCAUGUCACUAUUUGAUUGCAUGUGAUGUUUAUCAUGUUUUGCAUCUUAUUUGCUUAGAACGAUGGUAGCUUAAAUAAGAUGAUCCCUCGAAAUAAUUUCAAGAAAGUGUUCCCCCUAACUGUGCAUCGUUGCGAAGGUUAGUUGUUUCGAAGCACCACGUGAUGAUCGGGUGUGAUAGAUUCUAACGUUCGAAUACAACGGGUGUAAGCCAGAUUUACACACGUAAUACACUUAGGUUGACUUGACGAGCCUAGCAUGUACAGACAUGGCCUUGGAACACAGAAGACCGAAAGGUCGAGCAUGAGUCGUAUAGAAGAUACGAUCAACAUGAAGAUGUUCACCGAUGUUGACUAGUUCGUCUCACGUGAUGAUUGGACACGACCUAGUUAACUCGGAUCAUGUUAUACUUAGAUGACUGGAGGGAUGCCUAUCUGAGUGGGAGUUCAUUGAAUAAUUUGAUUAUAUGAACUUAAUUAUCAUGAACUUAGUCUAAAAUCUUUACAAUAUGUCUUGUAGAUCAAAUGGCCCACGUUGUCCUCAACUUCAACGCGUUCCUAGAGAAAACCAAGCUGAAAGACGAUGGCAGCAACUAUACGGACUGGGUCCGGAACCUGAGGAUCAUCCUCAUAGCUGCCAAGAAAGAUUAUGUCCUAGAAGCACCGCUAGGUGACGCACCUGUCCCAGAGAACCAAGACGUUAUGAACGCUUGGCAGUCACGUGCUAAUGAUUACUCCCUCGUUCAGUGCGGCAUGCUUUACAACUUAGAACCGGGGCUCCAAAAGCGUUUUGAGAGACACGGAGCAUAUGGGAUGUUCGAAGAGCUGAAAAUGGUUUUCCAAGCUCAUGCCCGGUUCGAGAGAUAUGAAGUCUCCGACAAGUUCUUCAGCUGUAAGAUGGAGGAAAAUAGUUCUGUCAGUGAGCACAUACUCAAAAUGUCCGGGUUGCAUAACCGCUUGACUCAGCUGGGAGUUAAUCUCCCGGAUGACGUGGUCAUUGACAGAAUCCUUCAGUCGCUUCCACCGAGCUACAAGAGCUUUGUGAUGAACUUCAAUAUGCAGGGGAUGGAAAAGACCAUUCCUGAGGUGUAUUCAAUGCUGAAAUCAACAGAGGUGGAAAUCAAAAAGGAACAUCAAGUGUUGAUGGUGAAUAAAACCACUAAGUUCAAGAAAGGCAAGGGUAAGAAGAACUUCAAGAAGGACGGCAAGGGAGUUGCCGCGUCCGGUAAGCAAGCCGCCGGGAAGAAGCCAAAGAAUGGACCCAAGCCUGAGACUGAGUGUUUUUAUUGCAAGGGAAGUGGUCACUGGAAGCGGAACUGCCCCAAAUACUUAGCGGAUAAGAAGGCCGGCGACACUAAAGGUAUAUGUGAUAUACAUGUAAUUGAUGUGUACCUUACCAGUACUCGUAGUAGCUCCUGGGUAUUUGAUACCGGUGCGGUUGCUCACAUUUGUAACUCAAAGCAGGAGCUGCAGAAUAAGCGGAGACUGGCGAAGGACGAGGUGACGAUGCGCGUCGGGAAUGGUUCCAAGGUCGAUGUGAUCGCCGUCGACAUGCUGCCUCUACAUUUACCUAUGGGAUUAGUUUUAAACCUCAAUAAUUGUUAUUUAGUGCCAUCUUUGAGCAUGAACAUUGUAUCAGGAUCUUGUUUAAUUCGAGAUGGCUACUCAUUUAAAUCUGAGAAUAAUGGUUGUUCUAUUUAUAUGAGAGAUAUGUUUUAUGGUCAUGCUCCGAUGGUGAAUGGUUUAUUCUUAAUGAAUCUCGAGCGUAAUGUUACACACAUUCAUAGUGUGAAUACCAAAAGGUGUAAGGUUGAUAAUGAUAGUCCCACAUACUUGUGGCACUGCCGCCUUGAUCACAUAGGUGUCAAACACAUGAAGAAGCUCCAUGUAGAUGGACUUUUAGAGUCUCUUGAUUACGAAUCAUUUGACACGUGUGAACCAUGCCUCAUGGGUAAAAUGACCAAGACUCCGUUCUCAGGAACAAUGGAGCGAGCCACCAACUUAUUGGAAAUCAUACAUACUGAUGUGUGCGGUCCAAUGAGUGUUGAGGCUCGCAGUGGCUAUCGUUAUGUUCUCACCCUCACUGAUGACUUGCGUAGAUAUGGGUAUGUCUACUUAAUGAAACACAAGUCUGAGACCUUCAAAAAGUUCAAGGAAUUUCAGAGUGAGGUUGAGAAUCAACGUGACAGGAAAAUCAAGUUCUUGCGAUCAGAUCGUGGGGGAGAAUACUUGAGUCACGAAUUUGGCACACACUUAAGAAAAUGUGGAAUAGUUUCACAACUCACGCCGCCUGGAACACCUCAGCGUGAUGGUGUGUCCAAACGUCGUAAUCGCACUCUAUUGGAUAUGGUGCGAUCUAUGAUGUCUCUUACCGAUUUACCGCUGUCAUUUUGGGGCUAUGCUUUACAGACUGCCGCAUUCACUUUAAAUAGGGCUCCGUCAAAAUCCGUUGAGACGACACCGUAUGAAUUAUGGUUUGGGAAGAAACCUAAGCUGUCGUUUCUAAAAGUUUGGGGAUGCAAUGCUUAUGUCAAGAAACUUCAACCUGAAAAGUCGAACCCAAGUCGGAAAAAUGCGUCUUCAUAGGAUACCCUAAAGAAACUGUUGGGUAUACCUUCUACCUCAGAUCUGAAGGCAAGAUCUUUGUUGCCAAGAAUGAGUCCUUUCUAGAGAAAGAGUUUCUCUUGAAAGAAAUGAGUGGGAGGAAAGUAGAACUUGAUGAAGUAUUACCUCUUGAACCGGUAAGUGGCGCAGCUCAAGAAAAUGUUCCUGAGGUGCCUACACCGACUAGAGAGGAAGUUAAUGAUGAUGAUCAUGAAACUUCAGAUCAAGUUACUACUGAACUUCGUAGGUCCACGAGGACACGUUCCGCACCAGAGUGGUACGACAACCCUGUCUUGGAAAUCAUGUUGUUAGACAACGGUGAACCUUCGAACUAUGAAGAAGCGAUGGCGGGCCCAGAUUCCGACAAAUGGCUGGAAGCCAUGAAAUCCGAGAUAGGAUCCAUGUAUGAAAACGAAGUGUGGACUUUGACUGACUUGCCCGAUGAUCGGCGAGCCAUAGAAAAUAAAUGGAUCUUUAAGAAGAAGACAGACGCGGAUGGUAAUGUGACCAUCUAUAAAGCU